This 399-nucleotide ribosomal RNA is filed under the name uncultured Lachnospiraceae bacterium. RNAcentral's name for it is "bacterial SSU rRNA". It matches the Rfam family "Bacterial small subunit ribosomal RNA", at positions 358 to 774 of the family's 1533-position model. The record is from RNAcentral. Lineage: Bacteria; Bacillati; Bacillota; Clostridia; Lachnospirales; Lachnospiraceae.
GGAAUAUUGCACAAUGGGGGAAAACCUGAUGCAGCGACGCCGCGUGAGUGAAGAAGUAUUUCGGUAUGUAAAGCUCUAUCAGCAGGGAAGAAAAUGACGGUACCUGACUAAGAAGCCCCGGCUAACUACGUGCCAGCAGCCGCGGUAAUACGUAGGGGGCAAGCGUUAUCCGGAUUCACUGGGCGUAAAGGGAGCGUAGACGGCAUGGCAAGUCUGAUGUGAAAGCUCGGGGCUCAACCCCGGAACUGCAUUGGAAACUGUCAAGCUAGAGUGCAGGAGAGGUAAGUGGCAUUCCUAGUGUAGCGGUGAAAUGCGUAGAUAUUAGGAGGAACACCGGCGGCGAAGGCGGCUUACUGGACUGUAACUGACGUUGAGGCUCGAAAGCGUGGGGAGCAAACA